RNAcentral lists this small RNA (1280 nucleotides) under Rattus norvegicus (Norway rat). RNAcentral describes it as "uncharacterized LOC108350655". The record is from RNAcentral. Lineage: Eukaryota; Metazoa; Chordata; Mammalia; Rodentia; Muridae.
CCUCCUUCCGUCUACUUCAAGUCCUUUUUACUUAAGAAAAGGACCACCUAUGGCUAUUAACCAGACAUGACCUAUCAAGUUACAGUAAGACUAGGCAACUCCCUCCUGUUAAGGCUAGAGAGGAAGUCCAGUAGGAGAAAAGGGUCAGUUCCUAAGGCAUGACACAGAAUCAGAGAAAGCCUCUGCUCCCACUGUUAAGAGUUCCAAAGAAGACCAAGAUCUAGAACCUGUACACAUCUCUGCAUCUUUUAGAACCUAUCACCAAACUCUAUUAAUGAAGAAAGUGACGGGCACUUUGUGUUUCGUGGUAUUAUAGAAGAGAUUUAGUUGUUUACACAAGGAUGAAGGAAUUACCCAGUUUGUAGCUCUUGAGGAAGUAGAAUUGUGGAUUCCUUCACAUUCCCCAUUAUGUGCUGGGAAGUGAGGUCAUAGAGGCAAAAGAUGGACAGUAAAACAAAGAUUAAACCCCUUGCGUAUAGGGAUGAAUUUCAGGGCCAAUUGAAGAAUUAUAUGUCAGCUUAUUGUAGAACUUCCCGUUAAAUCUAUACUGAAUGAAUCCUCAAAAAGGCUUUGAGCUAGAUUGUAGGCAUAAAUUUUUUGCAACCUACUUUUAGUAAGGGUUCAAUCUCUCUUAUAGCCCACCACCCAGCAGAGAUACUGGAAAAGAAAAGUUAUUAGGAGGCGAGCAAAGUGGACCUGUUUGGCAAUGGUUCUUUGGGGGCAAUAUUGAUUUUUGGCCGCAGUUCAGUCCUGUAGCAAACACCAAAUAUGACUCAGCAGCUACAGGCCGGUCCUCUAGGCAAGCAGACUCCAUCUACAAACUGACAGCUACAGUUCAGUCCUUUAAGCAAGCAAACACCAGGCAGCUGUAGUUCAAUCCUGAAGAAAGCGCCAGGCUUACCAACUGGCCUAAGCCAAGGCCAUAAAAGCAGCAAGCUGCCACAGGAACCUCAGGAGCAGUUCUUGGAAUAAUGCCAGAGCAGUCUGACCCCCAAAGGACACAUUAGCACUUCGAGACCUAUUUCCUGUUCUUCUUUCCUCAUACUGCAGCAAACAUCCACUGGAACAUGAGACACUUAUUAUGGCCGCACCCUCAAAGAAGAAUAAUUGUCCUUCUCCCAGCAGCUGUCAACUGCCAAUUGUUCCUCAGGGAGAAAUGGGGCACGGAGAGCAUCUCUCCUUACAUGUUGGUGAUUUAACUGGCUUAGUGUUGUACAGGUCUUUUGCAGGUAAACAAAUCUACUAUGAAUUCUUGAAUAAAAUAUCGAUUAUGUUCAGAA